Molecule: transfer RNA, 73 nt
Filed under: Treponema sp.
Lineage: Bacteria; Pseudomonadati; Spirochaetota; Spirochaetia; Treponematales; Treponemataceae
Also listed under: 1 other name
Description: tRNA-Thr
Rfam family: tRNA
About the family: Transfer RNA (tRNA) molecules are approximately 80 nucleotides in length.
Source: RNAcentral
GCCAAGGUGGCUCAGUCGGUAGAGCGGCGCACUCGUAAUGCGCAGGUCCCGGGUUCGAUUCCCGGCCUUGGCU